GACGAACCGUGCGAACGUUAUUCGGAAUCACUGGGCUUAAAGGGCGCGUAGGCGGGCUGCCGCGUCCGGGGUGAAAUCCCACGGCUCAACCGUGGAACGGCCCCGGGUACGGGCGGCCUCGAGGGGGGUAGGGGCGUGCGGAACUGUGGGUGGAGCGGUGAAAUGCGUUGAGAUCCACAGGAACUCCGGUGGCGAAGGCGGCACGCUGGACCCCCACUGACGCUGAGGCGCGAAAGCCAGGGGAGCGAACGGG
Molecule: ribosomal RNA, 253 nt
Filed under: uncultured bacterium
Lineage: Bacteria
Description: partial 16S ribosomal RNA
Rfam family: Bacterial small subunit ribosomal RNA
Source: RNAcentral